CUGGCCAGGUAAAGGAUUCUGCCUAUGAUUCGGCUGUCCGAGCGAAGGAUACCGCGGCUGAGAAGGCUACCCAGGCGAAGGAUACCACCUAUGAUACGGCUGCUCGAGCGAAAGAUACAACUCUCGAGAAGGCUGGGCAGACGAAGGAUUCGGUUUAUGAUAGCAGCGUUCGAGCCAAGGAUGUCGCUGCCGAGAAGGCUGGCCAGGCGAAGGAUUCCACCUAUGAUACGGCUGCUCGAGCCAAGGAUGUUACUGCCGAGAAGGCUGGCCAGGCGAAAGAUACCACAUAUGAUUCGGCUGCUCGAGCAAAGGAUGUUACUGCCGAGAAGGCUGGCCAGGCGAAAGAUGCCACCUAUGAUUCGGCUACUCGAGCAAAGGAUGUCACUGCCGAGAAGGCUGGCCAGGCGAAAGAUUCCACCUAUGAUUCGGCUGCUCGAGCAAAGGAUGUCACUGCCGAGAAGGCUGCCCGUGCUCAAGACACGACGAAGGUAUGGUGUUUUGUACUCCUGUUGUUUUGUAUUGAGCGAUUCUUUUGUAUUUCUCAG
This 545-nucleotide long non-coding RNA is filed under the name Selaginella moellendorffii. Its description in RNAcentral is "long non-coding RNA (SMOE_LNC000138)". Lineage: Eukaryota; Viridiplantae; Streptophyta; Lycopodiopsida; Selaginellales; Selaginellaceae. The record is from RNAcentral.